GUUCAAGGUGGCUGAAUCAUGCAGUGGGGCCUGGUGGGAGGAAUGUGGGGGUAAAUGGCACACAUACCACCUUUGCGAGUGUCUCUUGGAGUUCUAGGCCUUUGUGAACUGUUGUUAGCACUGUGCAAGUGCUUACAGUGGUCUCACUGUCCAAGACUCCCCCACUUACUGCCUUGCCAUGUGGUCCUUUCCACGAGUGCUUCUGCUACUACAUCAUCCACUAGAGCGACCCCCAGCAGAGCCCUGCGGACCAGCACCAUGUUCUCCAAUCGCCGUGGCUGUGAUUUAUGUAAGUCUUAAUCAAACACCAGCCUCGGAUGUUUUGUUAUAGAGUACAGAAGAGUCUGAAGAUAAUUAACUGCAUCAGAGGCCCUUCUCCCUUAGAGGCA
RNAcentral lists this long non-coding RNA (389 nucleotides) under Rattus norvegicus (Norway rat). RNAcentral's name for it is "long non-coding RNA NONRATT002787". Lineage: Eukaryota; Metazoa; Chordata; Mammalia; Rodentia; Muridae. The record is from RNAcentral.